Molecule: small RNA, 819 nt
Filed under: Pan troglodytes (chimpanzee)
Lineage: Eukaryota; Metazoa; Chordata; Mammalia; Primates; Hominidae
Description: retained intron
Source: RNAcentral
GCUCGGGGCAGCCGCCGCCAUGAUCCUGCUGGAGGUGAACAACCGCAUCAUCGAGGAGACGCUCGCGCUCAAGUUCGAGAACGCGGCCGCCGGAAACAAACCGGAAGCAGUAGAAGUAACAUUUGCAGAUUUCGAUGGGGUCCUCUAUCAUAUUUCAAAUCCUAAUGGAGACAAAACAAAAGUGAUGGUCAGUAUUUCUUUGAAAUUCUACAAGGAACUUCAGGCACAUGGUGCUGAUGAGUUAUUAAAGAGGGUGUACGGGAGUUUCUUGGUAAAUCCAGAAUCAGGAUACAAUGUCUCUUUGCUAUAUGACCUUGAAAAUCUUCCGGCAUCCAAGGAUUCCAUUGUGCAUCAAGCUGGCAUGUUGAAGCGAAAUUGUUUUGCCUCUGUCUUUGAAAAAUACUUCCAAUUCCAAGAAGAGGGCAAGGAAGGAGAGAACAGGGCAGUUAUCCAUUAUAGGGAUGAUGAGACCAUGUGAGUAUAGAAUUUGGUCCUGAAGCCUGGAUAUGGCUGCUACACCACCAUGGCACUUACUGAAAGAAAUAUGGCUUGGUCAAACUUUCAGCUGUAUUGCGUGAAAAUGUUUUUCUCAUAAAAUGUCUUAAGCCAGGAAGUAGAUGAUAGGGCAGAAAUCAGCCACUCCUCCUACUCUCCAGAUACUGAGAGCUGACAGAUGGUGGAAAGAGAAUCCAGUGCUUUCCUUUAAGGCACCACUGUUCUGAGUCAUGUUUAAGAGUAUAGCCUGGAUAGUCAGCAGGCAGGGUGACCAUAGGUCCAUGUUAUAUUUACAAGUCAAUAAAAUCUACUUCUGAUAAUUUC